This 433-nucleotide ribosomal RNA is filed under the name uncultured bacterium. RNAcentral describes it as "partial 16S ribosomal RNA". It matches the Rfam family "Bacterial small subunit ribosomal RNA", at positions 29 to 507 of the family's 1533-position model. The record is from RNAcentral.
AACGAACGCUGGCGGCAUGCCUAACACAUGCAAGUCGAACGAAGCCUUCGGGCUUAGUGGCGCACGGGUGCGUAACGCGUGGGAAUCUGCCCCUUGCUUCGGAAUAACAGUUAGAAAUGACUGCUAAUACCGGAUGAAGUCUUCGGACCAAAGAUUUAUCGGCAAGGGAUGAGCCCGCGUAGGAUUAGGUAGUUGGUGGGGUAAAGGCCUACCAAGCCGACGAUCCUUAGCUAGUCUGAGAGGAUGAUCAGCCACACUGGGACUGAGACACGGCCCAGACUCCUACGGGAGGCAGCAGUGGGGAAUAUUGGACAAUGGACGCAAGUCUGAUCCAGCAAUGCCGCGUGAGUGAUGAAGGCCUUAGGGUUGUAAAGCUCUUUUACCAGGGAUGAUAAUGACAGUACCUGGAGAAUAAGCUCCGGCUAACUCCGUG